GACGAACGCUGGCGGCGUGCUUAACACAUGCAAGUCGAACGGUGAAGCUCCAGCUUGCUGGAGUGGAUCAGUGGCGAACGGGUGAGUAACACGUAAGCAACCUGCCCCUGACUCUGGAAUAAGCGCUGGAAACGGCGUCUAAUACUGGAUACGAGAAGGGUCCGCAUGGGCACUUUCUGGAAAGUUUUUCGGUUGGGGAUGGGCUCGCGGCCUAUCAGCUUGUUGGUGAGGUAAUGGCUCACCAAGGCGACGACGGGUAGCCGGCCUGAGAGGGCGACCGGCCACACUGGGACUGAGACACGGCCCAGACUCCUACGGGAGGCAGCAGUGGGGAAUAUUGCACAAUGGGCGAAAGCCUGAUGCAGCGACGCCGCGUGAGGGAUGACGGCCUUCGGGUUGUAAACCUCUUUCAGCAGGGAAGAAGCGAAAGUGACGGUACCUGCAGAAGAAGCACCGGCUAACUACGUG
RNAcentral lists this ribosomal RNA (468 nucleotides) under uncultured bacterium. RNAcentral's name for it is "partial 16S ribosomal RNA". It matches the Rfam family "Bacterial small subunit ribosomal RNA", at positions 28 to 507 of the family's 1533-position model. The record is from RNAcentral.